Molecule: long non-coding RNA, 3810 nt
Organism: Lagenorhynchus albirostris (white-beaked dolphin)
Lineage: Eukaryota; Metazoa; Chordata; Mammalia; Artiodactyla; Delphinidae
Exons: 2
Source: RefSeq, a predicted model, not a curated record
GGGCGGCCGCGCAGGAGGAGGCGCGCGCCCCGGGUCCCGAGCCCGCAGGCCUGAUCCUGCCAAAAGUUAAGAGCGAAGCAGCGGUUCCUCGGCCCCGCGGGGACAGCGCACCCGACUGCUUUGCCAGGGAGCGGAGAAAGGCACGCGCGGGAGAACCAGAAGCAAUAACUACAGAAGCCGAACGCCCUUGUGGCGGGCGGCCCCGCCUCUCCCCUCCGCCGGCCCCGGGGAUGAGGGCGAAGGUAGGGGUCGGAGGACGCCGCGGGCUGAGCCUGCCCUGGCGUCGGGAACGCCCAGAUCCCCGAGGCCCGGAGCCGCCCAGGGCGUCAGGCCUCCGGGCUGGGGUGGGGGAAGUUUUUCAGCGUCCGAGGCUCGGAGCCCGUUUUUGCAUCUUCCCGGGAGUCUGGGCUCCGGGGCCAACUUCACUCCCGGCUUCAGACCCGGGCAUCCCCGGGGCGCACUGGGCACGGAGGACAAGUGGAUGCGUGGGAGGUGGUGUCCACCCCGGUGCCCCUCUGAACUGGGAGCUCCGUGCUGCCACGGGGUUGUCCCAACCCGGGGCGGGGCGGGGGGUGCGGGGGGAGGAUUCGCGGAGUCCCCAGGUCACUCAGAACCCGGACCAGCUGUCGCUUUCAGGUUACUCCUAGAAGAGCGUCCCUGGGCAGGUGUCCAGGAGCCUCUGGGGGUAACAUUUGGGUGGGAAAGGGCGGCUCCAGGCCAGAAGGGUUCCCUCCUCCUUCACCCCUGGCCAAUGUCACCGUGCCCUGGAUCUGCGGAGUCGAGACGGAUUAACUGCGUGAAGCCGAGACGGGGCGCUGACCUCGCGGCUGGCCGCCAAACCCAGACAGCAGGCCCGCAGGCGACGGCCGUGGUCCCAUCGCCGGACUCUCCCUGGCCGGCGCUUGGCCUCUCCCCGUCGGUCCCGUGCAGGGGUUGAGGAUUAGCUGCGGGGAGCCCCUGACCUCCUGGAGGAGGAUGCACCGUGGGCCAAAUCCUCGUUGGAAAGUCUUUGCGUGGAGGCGCGGUGUGAGGGCGCGCCGAGCCUGGCGUGCCUGCCAGGUACCAGCGGGUGAGAGGCCCUCGGGGUGCAAAGGUGAACCAAACCGGGCCGCCGCAGGCACUGGGGACAAACUAGAAGACCCCAGGCCCCGGGGGGGCAAGCUGAGGGCCACAGUGGGGAACGCGGUCAGAAAUACCCGGGGUGGGCGGUGGAGGCCAGAGUGAAGUUUGAACUGCCUGCCGAAGGCCGCUUGAUCUUGAGCCCCUGGCGUUACCCUGCGCUGGGCCGCAACUGCGGUGGUGAUCGCGCCGGCCUCCAGUGUCCUCGGGACCGGCUAACGUGGCUUCCUGAGGCAGGGAGGGCCGCGGCCGGAGGACAGCAACUUCUCGUGAAGACAGUUGGACGCCUGAGCGAGCCCUGAGCCAGAAGUGAACUUGCGUGCACUGGCCUCCUUCUGUAGUCCGGGGCUUUCUCUCCGAAGCCCAAAAUACCCCAGAUCGUUGUUUGCUUUUUACCUUUUCUUGUAACUAGCCGUAUUUACGUACAUUCCCACUUGGAAUUUCCCCCUUUCAAAGUUGAUGGCUGUUUUGGUGUUUCCAGAGGCCUGUUAAAUGAAGUCAGGGGAUUUAUGAGUUGAAGUGACCAACACCCCCUCACCCCCAAGGUGGGUUGGGUUUGCUGGCCCUCUUUUUCCCCCAGCCAGUGCAGGGUACCAUGUGGUAUUAAAGAAAGAACCCCAGUGGCCUGUGACAGUGUCCUGGCGGAGUUGGGGCAGUGGCCUUCCUGGCUGCAGUCCUGGAGUGGAGCACAGGGCACCCUCUUCUGGAGUGGGCAGCCCCUAGGUCCUCAUCCCUGGUCACUUAGCAACAAAAUUCAAGCUCUAUCUUUAGAGUUCACCACUUCCUCCUUUCCUUCCUCAGAAAUUUGGGUGCAAAUAGCACUAAAUGGUUUAGCCUUUAAAGGUAAACUUCUGAAACAGCCUGCUCCAAAUAAGGACUCGUCAUUUGUGAGUGAUCGGACUCCAAAUCUAAACUGAUUAUUUUCUCUUUCAAAAAUGCACCCCUUGGGGCUUCCCUGGUGGCACAGUGGUUGAGAAUCCGCCUGCCAAUGCAGAGGACAUGGGUUCAUCCCUGGUCCGGGAAGACCCCACAUGCCGCGGAGCAACUAAGCCCUUGUGCCACAGCUACUGAGCCUGCGCUCUAGAACCUAUGAGCCACAACUACUGAGCCCGCAUGCCACAACUACUGAAGCCCGCGUGUGCGCCACAAUGAGAAGCCACUGCAAUGAGAAGCCCGUGCACCACAACAAAGAGAAGCCCCCGCUCGCCGCAACUAGAGAAAGCCCGUGCGCAGCAACGAAGACACAAUGCAGCCAAAAAUAAAUAAAUAAAUAAAUUUUUUUAAAUGCACCCCUUUUACCACAAAGACAAGAGAGUCUCAGUGUUGUAAAAGAACAUAAAAUUAGGCAUUUAGAUUUUUUUGUAAAGUCAACGUUGCAUAUUAUAUGUACAAAAUCUACAUAAGAAGGUGAAGGUAGCUUAUCAAAACUGCCAACACACUCAGGAUAACUCUUUUUUUAGAAUAACUCUUAAAUGAGUAGCAUUGUGCAAAACUGUAUUUUAUCCAGAACUGUUCAAUUUCAAUGAACUAUUUUAAUUUAUGAUUUUUAAGUGUUGUAUAUGUAUGGCAAUUAAGCAACUUAUUGAUUUAGUUGAAUAAUUUGUCUUUGAGCCAUUAAAAAAAAGAUUCACUACUUUAUAGUUCUCAAAGAGGCCACCUAACUGUAACACCAGGAAGAUCUUUCAAAAUUACAAGCAGUGUAUUUAAAGCUUGAAAACCAAAUGCACCUGUAAUGGCCUCCUCCCGCAAAUAUGUUUAGAAGGCAAAGUGCUGGGGGGGCAGGAUGGGGGACCUAACGGUGGAGCAAACUCAAACCCUCCCCACUGCUCACCAAAUAACACCCCACCCCUGGAUCCAAUGGCAGAGUGAUUUUAAACACUUCACAUUGUCUGGAAUUUAGCACACAAAUGACUGUUAACUUUCAUUAUUAUUAAAUUUAAAGUAUCCAUUCGACUUAUCAUAUAAACUGCUCUGCAGGAGCUGCUUCUCCAAAUGUGUUGCUCUAUUUGCCAGAGAAGUAGCUCACGUGAGGUGAAUGAGUAAUGCUUUUUAUUUUUUCUUUUGCAAGGCGGUGUAGCUGGGGAUAAAGAGCAGAUUGUGAUAUCAGACAGAACUGUCUUCCAAUUCCGUCUCCUCCACUGCUGAGUUGCAGCCAUAAUAGUUCUAAAUUUUGACUAUUACUGGGUAUACCAGUGUGUAUUUGACCAAUUUCCUAGUCUUGAUAUUUAGGACGUUCCCAGCAUUUUCUUACCGUAUCUGUAAAGAAAAAAAAUGUUGCUUGCCAUUCCAGUUCUACAAAAAUCAAGUCAUAAGCCACUGCAGUCACCCACUGACAGGGAAAUUCAGGAUGCGGGGGGGGGGGGGGGGGGGAGGAGGAAGCAUUCUGUUCUUUGGACACCUGCCCCUAGAUAGUUAAAAUACACAUCUAAAGAAAAAUUUCAAUGAUCCCAGAUUCUUGCACCUUCCCAUACAGAGAAAAGCACUAAAAUCAUUAAUUUUAGGAGGCUGUUCUUUGUGAUUAGCAGUGAUCUUUUGAUGUUCGACUCCAUUUUCUUUUCCAGCAAAAAAUUCGUAUAUAUUCAGUCUCCCCCCUUACCUCUUUCAAAGCAGUACCUUGGAGCUAUCUGAGAGGCUGUUUCCCAGACUGUAGUCCUCAGUAAGAUCCCCGAAUAAAACUUCACUUGCAACUUU